UGUUUGCAUGUUCAUUACAUGUCAUGCAUUUUUUUUAGUUUUAUCAUUUUGCAUGCCCCUCGAACCCCUUUUCCCUCCAUUUUAGGAUUUUUGCAUUUCAUGCUAGUUAUAGGGUUCAUUUGCUUGAGGGUCCCCUUAAAUAUGGGAUAUAGACGAGUGUGGCUUUUUCUAAGCCUUAGCACGCUUGUAUUCCCUCUAUAAAAGGGCAAAUUGAGUCACGAUUUAGGUCUCCCCGUACCCAAUAUGCAUGAAUUCCCUAGGCUCAUGCAUUUUCAAAUCCACUCUACCAUUUUAUACCCUCAUCACACUUUCAUUUUUCCUCCCAUUUUGCACACGUGCACCUUUAUGUUUCUUC
RNAcentral lists this long non-coding RNA (355 nucleotides) under Coffea arabica (coffee). RNAcentral describes it as "long non-coding RNA (CARA_LNC007138)". Lineage: Eukaryota; Viridiplantae; Streptophyta; Magnoliopsida; Gentianales; Rubiaceae. The record is from RNAcentral.